Solanum verrucosum is the source of this 1559-nucleotide RNA transcript. It is a transcript of the gene named probable amidase At4g34880, with no coding region annotated. The record is from RefSeq and is a predicted model, not a curated record. NCBI's taxonomy places the organism in Eukaryota, Viridiplantae, Streptophyta, Magnoliopsida, Solanales, Solanaceae. The transcript has 5 exons.
GAUGAUAAAUCUCCACUAAUUAACUUGAAUCAGAAAAACAAAGAUGGAAGGCUGCUCGGUUUUCAAGAUUGAAGAAACCAGCAUUAAAGAAAUCCACCAAGCAUUUGCUCAAGGCAAACUCACCGCAAGAAAACUAGUCGACUUUUACCUUCACCAAAUCGAAACCCUAAAUCCGCUGCUUCGUGGGAUUAUUGAGGUGAACCCGGAGGCCCAAAAUCUAGCUGAUGAGGCUAACAGAAACAGAGUUAACAGUACUGAAACUGGAAGUUUUUUAGGGGAGUUACAUGGAAUCCCUGUGCUUCUUAAGGAUACAUUUGGGACAAAGGAUGAGUUGAAUACUACUGCGGGUUCAUAUGCUCUGCUGGGAUCUCAAGUGCCGCGAGAUGCUGGAGUGGUGGAGAAAUUGAGAAAAGCAGGUGCUAUUAUUUUGGGAAAAGCAAGUAUGAGUGAAUGGUACAAGUUUCGUUCUCUCAGUGGAGUUCCUAAUGGAUGGUGUGCUCGAUCUGGACAAGGAGUGAAUCCUUAUUGCCCGUCUGGAUCACCAUGUGGAUCAAGUAGUGGCUGUGCAAUAUCUGUUACUGCAAAUAUGGCAGCAGUCUCUCUUGGGACUGAAACUCACUGCUCCAUCAUCUGUCCAGCGGAUCAUAACUCAGUUGUAGGGCUGAAACCUACUGUUGGGCUCACAAGUCGGGCUGGGAUCAUACCAAUGACUCCCCUCUGGGACACUGUUGGGCCUAUAUGCAGGAAUGUUACAGAUGCAGUUUACAUGCUUGAUUGUAAUUGUUGGAUCAGAUCCAAGAGAUGAAGUCACCGCGGAAACAGCUAAAUAUAUUCCUGAGGGUGGCUACAAACAGUUUCUCGUGGAAGAUGGUCUAAAAGGGAAGCGAAUAGGCAUUGUCAGACACCCAUUUGUGGAAAUGAUACAUGGAGCACUCGAAAAAUCAGCUUUUGAGCAUCACCUAGAUUUGUUAAGGCAAGAAGGAGCAAUUCUGGUAGACAACCUGAGCAUACCACAUAUUGAAGAGAUAAUGGAUUCAAAUCAUAGCGGUGAAGCUUUGGUGAUGAUGGUUGAAUUCAAGAGCUCGAUCAAUGCUUACCUGAAAGAGUUGGUCACUUCUCCUGUCAGGUCAUUGGCCGACAUUAUUGCUUUUAAUGAACGCAACUCUGAGUUGGAAAAACUUGCUGAGUUUGACCAACAUACUUUUAUAGAAGCCGAGAAGACAGACGGAUAUGGAGAAGAAGAGAAGAAAGUUGUGGAGAAGUUGAAAAACUUUUCACAAAAUGGAUUUGAGAAAAUGAUGAACCACCAUGAGCUUGAUGCAAUGGUCGUGCCUGGUUCACGUGCCUCUCCCGUUUUUGCAAUAGGUGGCUACCCAGUAAUAACCAUUCCAGCCGGGUAUGAAAGUGAUGGCAUGCCAUUUGGCAUCUGUUUUGGAGGUUUGAAGGGUUCUGAACCAAAGCUGAUUGAAAUUGCCUAUGCCUUUGAGCAAUCUAGCAAAGUUCGACGACCUCCUUCUGUAAUUUAAUAUUGCUUUACCCUGAAGAUUGAGUAUAUUUGG